RNAcentral lists this ribosomal RNA (253 nucleotides) under uncultured bacterium. RNAcentral describes it as "partial 16S ribosomal RNA". It matches the Rfam family "Bacterial small subunit ribosomal RNA", at positions 524 to 776 of the family's 1533-position model. The record is from RNAcentral.
UACGAAGGGGGCUAGCGUUGUUCGGAAUCACUGGGCGUAAAGCGCACGUAGGCGGAUGUGCCAGUCAGGGGUGAAAUCCCGGAGCUCAACUUCGGAACUGCCUCUGAUACAGCACGUCUUGAGUCCGGAAGAGGUGGGUGGAAUUCCUAGUGUAGAGGUGAAAUUCGUAGAUACCGGGAGGAAUACCAGUAGCGAAGGCGGCCUUCUGGACGAAGACUGACGCUCAGACGCGAAAGCGUGGGGAGCAAACAGG